AUGACCUGGGGAUCUUGUCAAAAUGUAGAUUCUGAUCCAGGAGGUCUGGGAUGAGGCAUGAGACUCUGCAUUUCUAACAAGCUCCCAGGUUGUGCUGC
This 98-nucleotide microRNA precursor is filed under the name Pteropus alecto (black flying fox). RNAcentral's name for it is "mir-544 microRNA precursor family". It matches the Rfam family "mir-544 microRNA precursor family". Lineage: Eukaryota; Metazoa; Chordata; Mammalia; Chiroptera; Pteropodidae. The record is from Rfam by way of RNAcentral.